CCUACGGGUGGCAGCAGUGGGGGAUAUUGCACAAUGGGGGGAACCCUGAUGCAGCGACGCCGCGUGGGUGCAGAAGCGCCUCGGCGCGUAAAGCCCUUUCAGCAGGGAAGAAAAGUACGGUACCUGAAGAAGAAGCCCCGGCUAACUACGUGCCAGCAGCCGCGGUAAGACGGAGGGGGCAAGCGUUAUCCGGAUUUACUGGGUGUAAAGGGGGCGCAGACGGCGAUGCAAGCCAGGAGGGAACGCCCGGGGCCCCCCCCCGGGACUGCUCGUGGAACUGCGGGGCUGGAGGGCAGGCGGGGCAGGCGGACUUCCUGGUGUAGCGGUGAAAUGCGUAGAUAUCAGGAGGCACACCGGUGGCGAAGGCGUCCUGCUGGACUGCACCUGCCGUUGCGGCCC
Molecule: ribosomal RNA, 399 nt
Filed under: uncultured bacterium
Lineage: Bacteria
Description: partial 16S ribosomal RNA
Rfam family: Bacterial small subunit ribosomal RNA
Source: RNAcentral